Molecule: small RNA, 30 nt
Filed under: Bombyx mori (domestic silkworm)
Lineage: Eukaryota; Metazoa; Arthropoda; Insecta; Lepidoptera; Bombycidae
Description: ovarian small RNA-30945
Source: RNAcentral
UGAAGGACUUUCAGUACCGGCGUCCCGCCC